RNAcentral lists this ribosomal RNA (520 nucleotides) under uncultured bacterium. RNAcentral describes it as "bacterial SSU rRNA". It matches the Rfam family "Bacterial small subunit ribosomal RNA", at positions 8 to 524 of the family's 1533-position model. The record is from RNAcentral.
AGAGUUUGAUCCUGGCUCAGGAUGAACGCUGGCGGCGUGCCUAAUACAUGCAAGUCGAGCGAGAAUCUUCAGAAACAAUUCUUCGGAGGCGUUUCAGAAGAGGAAAGCGGCGGACGGGUGAGUAACGCGUAGGCAACCUGCCCCUGGCAGAGGGAUAGCCAUUGGAAACGAUGAUUAAAACCUCAUAACGCUGAAGCAGCACAUGCUGCAUCAGCCAAAGAUUUAUCGGCUGGGGAUGGGCCUGCGUCUGAUUAACUAGUUGGUGAGGUAACGGCCCACCAAGGUGACGAUCAGUAGCCGACCUGAGAGGGUGAUCGGCCACAUUGGAACUGAGACACGGUCCAAACUUCUACGGAAGGCAGCAGUAAGGAAUCUUGCACAAUGGGGGAAACCCUGAUGCAGCAACGCCGCGUGAACGAUGAAGGCCUUAGGGUUGUAAAGUUCUGAUCUGUGGGAAGAAGAAAGUGACGGUACCACAGGAGAAAGCCCCGGCUAAAUACGUGCCAGCAGCCGCGGUAAU